GCAAGCCGAGCGGUAGAGAUUCUUCGGAAUCUUGAGAGCGGCGUACGGGUGCGGAACACGUGUGCAACCUGCCUUUAUCUGGGGGAUAGCCUUUCGAAAGGAAGAUUAAUACCCCAUAAUAUACUGAAUGGCAUCAUUUGGUAUUGAAAACUCCGGUGGAUAGAGAUGGGCACGCGCAAGAUUAGAUAGUUGGUGAGGUAACGGCUCACCAAGUCUGCGAUCUUUAGGGGGCCUGAGAGGGUGAUCCCCCACACUGGUACUGAGACACGGACCAGACUCCUACGGGAGGCAGCAGUGAGGAAUAUUGGACAAUGGGUGAGAGCCUGAUCCAGCCAUCCCGCGUGAAGGACGACGGCCCUAUGGGUUGUAAACUUCUUUUGUAUAGGGAUAAACCUUUCCACGUGUGGAAAGCUGAAGGUACUAUACGAAUAAGCACCGGCUAACUCCGUGCCAGCAGCCGCGGUAAUACGGAGGGUGCAAGCGUUAUCCGGAUUUAUUGGGUUUAAAGGGUCCGUAGGCGGAUCUGUAAGUCAGUGGUGAAAUCUCACAGCUUAACUGUGAAACUGCCAUUGAUACUGCAGGUCUUGAGUAAAGUAGAAGUGGCUGGAAUAAGUAGUGUAGCGGUGAAAUGCAUAGAUAUUACUUAGAACACCAAUUGCGAAGGCAGGUCACUAUGUUUUAACUGACGCUGAUGGACGAAAGCGUGGGGAGCGAACAGGAUUAGAUACCCUGGUAGUCCACGCCGUAAACGAUGCUAACUCGUUUUUGGGUUUUCGGAUUCAGAGACUAAGCGAAAGUGAUAAGUUAGCCACCUGGGGAGUACGUUCGCAAGAAUGAAACUCAAAGGAAUUGACGGGGGCCCGCACAAGCGGUGGAUUAUGUGGUUUAAUUCGAUGAUACGCGAGGAACCUUACCAAGGCUUAAAUGGGAAAUGACAGGUUUAGAAAUAGACUUUUCUUCGGACAUUUUUCAAGGUGCUGCAUGGUUGUCGUCAGCUCGUGCCGUGAGGUGUUAGGUUAAGUCCUGCAACGAGCGCAACCCCUGUCACUAGUUGCCAUCAUUAAGUUGGGGACUCUAGUGAGACUGCCUACGCAAGUAGAGAGGAAGGUGGGGAUGACGUCAAAUCAUCACGGCCCUUACGCCUUGGGCCACACACGUAAUACAAUGGCCGGUACAGAGGGCAGCUACACAGCGAUGUGAUGCAAAUCUCGAAAGCCGGUCUCAGUUCGGAUUGGAGUCUGCAACUCGACUCUAUGAAGCUGGAAUCGCUAGUAAUCGCGCAUCAGCCAUGGCGCGGUGAAUACGUUCCCGGGCCUUGUACACACCGCCCGUCAAGCCAUGGAAGUCUGGGGUACCUGAAGUCGGUGACC
This 1370-nucleotide ribosomal RNA is filed under the name Chryseobacterium sp. RNAcentral describes it as "bacterial SSU rRNA". It matches the Rfam family "Bacterial small subunit ribosomal RNA", at positions 57 to 1435 of the family's 1533-position model. Lineage: Bacteria; Pseudomonadati; Bacteroidota; Flavobacteriia; Flavobacteriales; Weeksellaceae. The record is from RNAcentral.